GUGGGGAAUAUUGGACAAUGGGCGAAAGCCUGAUCCAGCCAUGCCGCGUGUGUGAAGAAGGUCUUCGGAUUGUAAAGCACUUUAAGUUGGGAGGAAGGGCAGUAAGUUAAUACCUUGCUGUUUUGACGUUACCGACAGAAUAAGCACCGGCUAACUUCGUGCCAGCAGCCGCGGUAAUACGAAGGGUGCAAGCGUUAAUCGGAAUUACUGGGCGUAAAGCGCGCGUAGGUGGUUUUGUAAGUUGGAGGUGAAAUCCCCGGGCUCACCCUGGGAACUGCCUCCAAAACUGCAUGACUAGAGUACGGUAGAGGGUAGUGGAAUUUCCUGUGUAGCGGUGAAAUGCGUAGAUAUAGGAAGGAACACCAGUGGCGAAGGCGACUACCUGGACUGAUACUGACACUGAGGUGCGAAAGCGUGGGGAGCAAACAGGAUUAGAUACCCUAGUAGUCC
This 450-nucleotide ribosomal RNA is filed under the name uncultured bacterium. Its description in RNAcentral is "bacterial SSU rRNA". It matches the Rfam family "Bacterial small subunit ribosomal RNA", at positions 354 to 796 of the family's 1533-position model. The record is from RNAcentral.